CUAGUGCAGUGCUGCCACCAUGUGGUGAGUGCGCAUAUGUGAACAAGUGCAUCUUCAUAAUAAAGGCAUGCUGAUCAUGUUUAAAAGGAACCAGGGAAGAAAAAUAACACCUUCUUUUUUCUUUUUCAGAAUAUCUGAGCAAGUUUCCCAUGGAUUCGUGAAGUCUUUUGUCACUUUAUGCCGUCAGUCAAAGCACAUGUACAUAUUCCAUUGCAGUGCUUUUCUCCAUUAAGGCCAGAGGAGGGCAGUGCUGAUCACAGGAAGCCUUCUCCGGAGGACGAGAUCUGGGGGUUUAUCUUCAAACGCAGAAUAACACGAUGCUGUGUCAGCAGUCUGGUCUGAAACAUGUCAUGAAUCCGAGGGGACGGAGAUGUUGUCCAACCUAUGGAAGGAAAACAGAGAGGGAGAAAAUGAAAGAGAAAGAGAGGGCAUCGUGCUUCUCGCAAGCUGACAAUUCCAGCGACUCUGUCAGACAGCAGUUGACUGCUACUCUGCUAUUCCUGUUCGAGGGCUGAACCCACUCUGCCUUGUUGGCACAGAUAUUUUUAGCCCUGGCGUUUGGCAGAGAGACCAGCACUAAGAGUGAUGGGGCCACACAGGCCUCCAACGGCAAAAGGGCAGCAGUAGGAAGAAGAGGGCGGAGGCGGGCAAGGUCACAUGAGGCCACUGGAGACGAGAGAGUGGAGGAUGAGGUGAUGAGAUCUGGUGAUUGAGUGGCUCUGGACAGACUGUUGGUCAUAUGCUGUGGGCAAUGAAGGAACGAAUCACCCCGAGGAUGUCUAAUAUACCUGGAGACUGGAGCUGUCCAUUAGCAUUCCCAUUUACCUCCACUGGCACAUUAGCCCUGGAGGUACAUGGCCAAAUCAAGCCAUCUUUGCUACAUGCGGACACUGUUUUCAUUUCAGUCAACCACUCUGAAUUCUACAUAUAGCCCCUUUAACUUGAUGAAAAGUUACAGAAUAGAAUUUUACAUUGUUACAAAUAAAUGCUGUUCUUUUGAACUUUCUAUUUACUUUUCAACAUUGAUAAUAAGAUAUAUUUCUUAGGGCCCUAUCAUACACCCAGUGCAAUGCGACGCCUGGCGCGCCACAAGUGUUUCUUGCUAGUUUCAGCCCGACGCAUUUAUCAUUUUCACGU
Ctenopharyngodon idella (grass carp) is the source of this 1137-nucleotide long non-coding RNA. RefSeq lists it as uncharacterized. The record is from RefSeq and is a predicted model, not a curated record. The transcript has 4 exons. Lineage: Eukaryota; Metazoa; Chordata; Actinopteri; Cypriniformes; Xenocyprididae.